Molecule: ribosomal RNA, 404 nt
Filed under: uncultured bacterium
Lineage: Bacteria
Description: bacterial SSU rRNA
Rfam family: Bacterial small subunit ribosomal RNA
Source: RNAcentral
UGGGGAAUAUUGCACAAUGGGGGAAACCCUGAUGCAGCGACGCCGCGUGGAGGAAGAAGGCCCUCGGGUUGUAAACUCCUGUCUUCGGGGACGAUAAUGACGGUACCCGAGGAGGAAGCCACGGCUAACUACGUGCCAGCAGCCGCGGUAAAACGUAGGUGGCAAGCGUUGUCCGGAAUUACUGGGUGUAAAGGGAGCGCAGGCGGAGCGGCAAGUUGGAGGUGAAAACCACGGGCUCAACCCGUGAACUGCCUUCAAAACUGCCGGUCUUGAGUGGUGUAGAGGUAAGCGGAAUUCCCGGUGUAGCGGUGGAAUGCGUAGAUAUCGGGAGGAACACCAGUGGCGAAGGCGGCUUACUGGGCACUAACUGACGCUGAGGCUCGAAAGCAUGGGUAGCAAACAGG